UCCUGGCAGGGAGGCCGAGUCUGGGAGUAGUAGUCCCCUGAACUUUUAAAAGAUCCCAUUCCAUCUCUGGGGUGCUGCACCCCAUAAUUCCCACCCCAUAAUUCCCUGCCCUGCCGUGCCUCAUGGAUUUCUGAUUUUUGGACAGGACAAGUUUUGCCUUUACUUGGUCUACUAAAAGCAGAAACAGAAGGAAUGUGUUCUAGCCAAAAUGUAUCUCCCUAAUAAUGAUUGGGGCUUCUCCCUCAGAGCCUUCUCAUGUAUUUGGAAAUAUGAGAACUACCGUAUGGUGUUGGCAUGGACUCCAAUUAAUGGCUAAAACCAACACUAAAUGAAAGCAUGAGAAGUAUGUGCACAUCUUCAAAUUCAAGAUAUAAACCAUGAUUGAUGAACUGACAAGUCAAAGAGGAGUGAGGGUUUAUGGAAAAAGGUGGACUACCCCUGAAAUCUCUCCCACUGAACCACCAACAUGGCUCUCCAGUGCUUGGGAGUCAUGUAUACCCCAUUAAUUUCCAUGACACAUUGCUGUCAUGCUGCACAGAGAAGGCGUUUGGAAUAUAAGGCUGCUUUUAUGGAUGGACUGCUGGAACACUUAAUAUAGCUCCAUUUUUGAAUUAUCAGAUUCUAUCCUUUUGAAGUCUGUGUUAGUGGAACUCCUAUUUAUGAGAUGUGCUGUGCUUAAAGGUUUGCUAUUGAUGAAGAGGUCCAACAGAGGCCUUUAUCGUAAGUACCGUAGCAUUCUCCCCGAGAAAUAAAUAGCCUUGCUAAAAGGUAUGUUGUAUACCAGUGUUGCAAAUUACCAACCAAGUACCUUAACUGUAUACUUCAAAAAUACUACUGUGCUCCUUGCUUAUUUCCCCUUAUCUGCAAAAUGAGCAACAUUUUUAAAGACAAAGGAAAUGUAUUUGCAGUAGAUACUGGAGAAGAACAAAAGACCUUCAUCUGUUAGGAAGUAUAAUCAAUAUAUUAGUAUUAAAACAUAAUUUGGAACACAUUAAGCAAGUGCAGAAAUCAUGUAGUUUUAGACAUCUUUGCAGCAUUUCCCUUUGGAAAAUGAUGCAGGACAGCCACUUACUUAGCUGGAAAAUUCCUUCAGUAGAGAGGGCACCUGACACAAAGGUCUCAGCAGCUAUGGAACAAUGAUUGAAAAAGUCCUGCAUUCUAUUAAUCAGAUUGUUAUUCAAGCAGCAUAUAUGCAGAAGAGAGCAAACUAUUCCACUGGCUACAUCUAUUCUAGAUAAAGGCUGCUGUGGGGUGUCUUGAGUCAUUUCCUCUUUCCCAUUACAUAUAAAGUGGUAUGACAAUCCCACCUGAUCCAGUUGCCCAUUACAUUUUCUGAUCUGUGCUACAGUGUUUCCUGCCACCCCCCCACCCCACCCCCGAUGGACAUCCCUCUCAUCAGUGGGGUGCUCUGCUCAUAUGCAACUUGAACAUGUAAACUUUGAGUUUUUGAUUUAAACAUUUAAAAAAUCAUUGAUGUUUAUUAGCCUACUUUCCACAAGGAAAGUACCCUUAUGAGAUGACUUUGCUGUCCAUGUGUGUGUGUCCCCCACUAACAACUUUGCAAUGCCUGAACCGAUUUGCACCAAAUUUGGUACAGAUGUUGUGCCACAUAGGGACACCUGAACGGUGUGGUUUGUGAUGACAUAAUGCACCCCAAUCUAAGAUGGUGGCCACACAUAAAAUAGGUGGAUUAGUUCUUACCAGAACUGCUUAUUUACCCUUGCGAAUGGGCUUUCGGUUUUCCCUGUUUUCACCACCUUUUGGAAUCACCUGUUGUACCAAGAUUGCAGCUAUUAUUACAGAAACGUUAUCUUCACAAGGGUAAAUAAAAAUCAAUGAUUUUUAAAUUAAAAACUCAAAGUUUAUAUAAGAUUUUAAAUUUUUAAGUUGAAUUUUUAAAAAUGGAGGUAAUUAAGUAUCCUGCGGGCGUCAGGAGUUGAAAUCGACUUGACGGCACACUUUACCUUUAUAUAGAUG
Long non-coding RNA from Hemicordylus capensis (graceful crag lizard), 1977 nucleotides. RefSeq lists it as uncharacterized. The transcript is spliced from 3 exons. The record is from RefSeq and is a predicted model, not a curated record. Lineage: Eukaryota; Metazoa; Chordata; Lepidosauria; Squamata; Cordylidae.